Long non-coding RNA from Plutella xylostella (diamondback moth), 687 nucleotides. RefSeq lists it as uncharacterized. Lineage: Eukaryota; Metazoa; Arthropoda; Insecta; Lepidoptera; Plutellidae. The record is from RefSeq and is a predicted model, not a curated record.
UUAGUAGGGUAGCCUGGGUACGGUUAAAACAGGGUACGGUUGAAACAACUCUAAUAAUUCCUAAACUAUGGGCGGUACGACGAGGGGUCCAAGGGGAGAGGGACGCGGCUUGCGAGUCCAGAGAUGAAUCACAGUGCUUCGUCGCAUUUCGCGCGCCGUGCACGUGUGUAGGUGGCCUCAUUGUAUUUUUUUCGACAAAAAUGCCGAGAGUACGUGUAAGGAAGACUUUGAGGGCGCAGAUCGACUUGUUGCAGUACAAAAACGCUUAUGAAGAGGUAAAAGCAGGAUAUUCAUUGCGGACAGCUGCGGAGAAUUUUUGUUUGGUUAAUUUUAAUUGAAAAGUGUUAUUAGUUCUGUUGCUUUUGUUAACUACGUUUUUUUUUAUUAUUUAGUUUUAAUAUUGUCACUGAGAACGUUAGGUUAAGGCUGAUUAAAGUUAUCGUUAAGUUUAUUAAAACAUUGAAGACUGUGAUUAAAGUUAUCGUUAAGUUUAUUUAAACAUUGAAGACUGUGAUGUUAAAAUGCUAUAAUUAUUAAGAAUUACAAUAAAUGAUGAUUAAAACUUGUUCAAAUGUAUUAUUUUUGUAUCAUUUGCAUAUGUUUCAACUGACCCCAGUCACUGUUUCAACCGUCCCUGGUAUGGGGACGGUUGAAACAAAUUCUUUUUUUAUUUCGAUUUGGUUUUAC